UUUGUAGGAUGCACCAUCAGCAAAUGUAAAUACAUCUAAUGAAGAAGUGCAUGAAGCAACAGAAGGAUUGUAUUUUUUGCUUGUACAAGAAAAAGACAGCAUUCAAUAUCCAAAUUUUCAAUGGGCGUCAAGUCACUCUAUUAAAAAGAAAAUAAUAAUAUAUUUGAUGAUCGAUACAAUACCCAGCCCAUCUGAAAGUGGCAAUGUUAUCCCUAUUUUUAAAAAGCAGGUUAUUGUUUAAGCGAUUCCAGACUCCAGAUAAGAAUUUAUAAAAAAAAAUAUCGAUACAAAUUUCUUUGAAAGGAAACCUGAAACUAUUCAGGAUUUCCAAAAUUUUUUUGAACGAGAUCGAUACUUUAAAUUCUUGUCAAGGAGGACCAUCAAUAAAUUACUUCAAAAAUGUUAAUGUUGGAACUGCAUAUAAAGAUGAUGAAAGAGGAAGCAUAAUAAAUGCCCAAUACUUCUGAGUACUGGAACUGUCUGCUCAUAUUGCACGACAUUAUAUAAACUUUUAUCGCAGAAUCAGCAUCGACAAAAAAUUAAAAAACUGCGCACAAAUAGAUAUGCUACUAAAACUGUAAAAAAUACUUUUAAAAAAUGUGCAAUAAUAAACGUGUAAUUAAACAGCGUCUUACACAAAAAGAGCGUAAACUGCGUGACCUCACAAAAGAAUUGAAUAAGGUACAUGCACGAAUUCAGAAUGUCCAGCAAAUAAAUUUUAUUGAGAAGUUGAAGACGCUGUCGCCUAAUCUAACAGAAAAUCAGGUAACCUUAAUUAACGAAUGUUUAGUUGCUGGUAAAGUUUCCAAUGCAAAAAGUCGUCGGUACACGCAUGAAUGCAUUUUACUGUGUAUGCUACUGUACAUUAGAAGUUCUGCAGCGUAUAAUAUGCUAAAGGAUAAUGGCAUUUUACCUUUGCCAGCAAAAUCUACAAUUAAAAAAUAUUUGCGCUUCUCGAAUACAGGUCGCGGAUUCGAUGCUAAAUUUUUAAAAAGAAGAUGCAAAAUUUGCCUGAAAUUGCAAGAAAUAGAAUGUUGUCCUUUGACGAAGUUUCAGUCCGAUCUAGCAUCGAAGUUAACGCCAACACGUUAACAUUUGAUGGAUUAGUAAACCAUGGAAAUAAUGAAAUUGGAGAAUAAAGUAUAAGUGAACAAGCAGACCAUGCUUUAGUGUUUAUGUUUUCAUCGUUAUAUUUGACUUUUCGAAACCAGUUGGUAUGUUUGGAUCUAAGGGGAUUACAAAAACAAUUUUUUUUUAUCUGCUCUAGUUAUACAAGCUAUAAUAGAAAUAGAAAAAGCUGGAGGUAAAGUGCACUGUAUUGUGUGCGACGGUGCUACUACAAAUAGAAGUAUGUGGAGAAGCUUUGGAAUAUCUGGGAAUAUUGAUGAUGUCAAAAAUUUUUCCGAAAUACAUUUGACGAUAAAAGAAAAGUUUUUGCUUUCUCCGAUGCUCCUCAUCUUAUAAAAUGUAUAAGAAACAGAUUAAAGCAAAAAAAAGUUUGAAGGUAAACGCUUUUCAAAAUUUUAACAAUUUUAUGUUAGGUGAUUUCUUUCAUUACAGCUGCAUUAAUUAUUUUCAUUUAAAAUACUUGUACAACUUAGGUCAAUGGUGAUUCUGUGAAGUGGGCUUUUUAUGAAGCUCUGUAUUAUCAUGAUAUUCAAAGUAAUCUUAGAGUAUGUCCAAAAUUAACAGAGAAUCACAUCAAACUUGUACAUGCAAUAAAAAUGAGAGUUAUUCUGGCAACUUAAGUAAUAUUUUAUAUUAUUUUGGUCUGUCUUCUGCUAUAUUUUAUUUAUAAAUGCAAUAGUAUUAUUUUAAACUAUAGGAAUAGAUCUCUACGAGUUCGUAGAGAUUAUUGUAUUCCUAUAGUGUGACGGCAGGCCCAGCCCAGGGAUAAGAGAACAGCAACAGAUAACUUGCCUGGCGUAGGCAAGUUACCGACCGAGUGGCGCUAGGAGCCAAAUGUAAAUAGUCUACCUAUGCGCGGGUAGAUGGCGUACGCGCAUGUAACACAGGGGAGAGGGAGAAACUCGGGUAUAUAAGGAGCCCCGGAGCCAGCAGCAGAGCAUAUUAAUGAUCUGGCUCUCAACUGAGUAACGUGCGAAUGGUAGUACUCACUGCUUGCUCCGGUCUCCACCAUACCUAGUAGUCCAUGAGCCCCAGGCUGUCGAAGAGUAUGUGUGCAGUCCACUCCAUCUCCUGUAGGCUGAGA
This 2212-nucleotide long non-coding RNA is filed under the name Nasonia vitripennis (jewel wasp). RNAcentral describes it as "uncharacterized LOC107982129". The record is from RNAcentral. Lineage: Eukaryota; Metazoa; Arthropoda; Insecta; Hymenoptera; Pteromalidae.